UGGUCCGAGAGGAUCCCACAUGCCGCGGAGCAGCUAAGCCCGUGCACCACAACUGCUGAGCCUGUGCUCUAGAGCCUUCGAGCCACAAUUACUGAGCCCACGUACCACAACUACUGAAGCCCGCGCGCCUAGAGCCUGUGCUCUGCAACAAGAGAAGCCACCGCAAUGAGAAGCCCACGCACCACGACGAAGAGUAGCCCCCGCUCGCCGCAACUAAAAGAAAGCCCGUGCACAGCAACGAAGACCCAAAGCAGCCAAAAAUAAAGUAUGUGGAAAAAGCAUUUGGUACAGGUGCCGGAUCUGGCUCUGCUAACUACCAGCUAAGACCUCAGGGUCUGUUUCUGGGGGAGCCUGUAGCUCCUAAGAUGGAAAAGCAUGUACAGGGCCUGGAAGAAGCGAGGAGGUGCCUCUCACUGGGAAGAUUUUGGUGGUGAUUUUGAUUGACCACUUGGACCAACUCUGCCAUGAAUAUCGUUGAAGAUCUGACCAUUACAUUCCCAAUAACUGUUGCUUCAAUUUCCAUUAGAUGGAUUUCAAGCAGAGGAAUGUCUGUUCUACUCCGUCUGUGCACGGCCUGUUUUCACACAUCCCUAUUGUCUCUCAGCGUUUGAAGAAAAGCAGCCAGUUACUGCAAUGUGUGACCAUUUACCACUAAUGACGCUGGUGGCUCUUUGAAUGGAAGGAGUCAAUACUGAGUUUGAAGUGAUUGAAGAAUUAGCCUUUAUGAAUAGCCUGCAUGGAAUAACCACAGGUUAGAUGUUUGGUUGCCUGCUUUACGGCAGAGGCAUCUCGUCAAAGAUCCCGAGGAAGCAAAACAUGGGACGAAGAAAUAUUAGCUCCUUCACUGUGUUCCUGGAUAUAAGAUGUCAUACGGGAAAUUUCAAGGUACGAGCCAACAAAACAUCAAAGAAGGUAUGUUCUCUAGUCAAGACCCCAGAAGUUACAGACUCAGUCUCGUGGACGUCAUUGAAGAGUGAUCAUUUCUUCCCUGGAGACUCCAAUAAAAAUACCAACAUUUACUCUUAUGAGACCAAAUUGGGUUAUAUCUAAUUGUUACUGGGUAGGGGUCAGGUGAAAUAUGCUAACUAGCUAAGUUCGGGUCAUAUGCUCUGAAUCUGGAGGGGAACUAUGCCAAUCCCAUGUGAGACACUUGAACUGAGAUCAGGAGUGAUUUCUUAGGAAUACUGUACUGUGGUUUCAGAAUGAGAGGCAAAGGUGAUGUGCUGAGCAGUCAAAAUCAACCCACAUCCAUCAUAGUCAGCCUUGCUGUCAGCUGCAUUCUGACCUUGGAUUAGCUGUGGAGAACAUGGCUGCCAAGGUUACUACUGUAAAAACAACAAAUAAGAUAUCAGGAUCUUAACCAAAUAAAGUUUUAUUAUUAACUCCAAUAGAAUUGUCUCUGAUUAGACAGUUUUUCUGGAAGGCUCCCCUCAAAGCAGGGAGUUGGUGAUUCAAGCCCCUUCCAUCUUGUGGCUCUACCAUUUUUUAAUCAUUAAAGGACUGUCCAAUAUUCCAUCAGUUAGGGAAAAAGGGUAGAGAGUCAUGUAUAUGAUGGUUUUAUGGGAAGGCCUGGAAGUGGCAAAUACUAUUUCCCUCUAUGCUAUGAGGAAGUGUGAAGAGGCUGGCAAAUUUAACUUAUCUUUGUGUCCAGUGGAGGAAGUAUAUGGUUUGUUGAAUAGUCUCUACCACUAAUCCUAUGCUUCAAAUGAGUUACUGGCUUCUCCUUGGUUUCUUCAGUGAAAUAUUUUGCUCUAAUCCUAAUAACCAGCGGCUUGCCUUGUUUUCUAUGUCUGAGUCUCUGCCUAUAAAUUAUUCUA
This is a long non-coding RNA of Balaenoptera ricei (Rice's whale), 1817 nucleotides long. RefSeq lists it as uncharacterized. Lineage: Eukaryota; Metazoa; Chordata; Mammalia; Artiodactyla; Balaenopteridae. The record is from RefSeq and is a predicted model, not a curated record. The transcript is spliced from 9 exons.